AAGAUCAUACUUCACAGGAUCAUUUCUGUAGUAUAUCUUGACUUGUUUCCCACCCAGAAACAUUUCUCCAAUCAACCCGCGAUGACGAGUAAUGACGCUGGCUUCUGAGAGUGAAACAGGUUGCGAUCGUAGCCACUUGCGUGGUAUCUGCUCGUAGCCAUUGAGGACCGUUUCCGGUGUUCCCUUGUGGCACACUGGAAGGAAACCGGCGUUUUCAGAGCGGU
This is a small nucleolar RNA of Daphnia magna, 224 nucleotides long. RefSeq annotates it as small nucleolar RNA U3. The transcript has a single exon. The record is from RefSeq and is a predicted model, not a curated record. Lineage: Eukaryota; Metazoa; Arthropoda; Branchiopoda; Diplostraca; Daphniidae.